This 68-nucleotide transfer RNA is filed under the name Salix viminalis (osier). It matches the Rfam family "tRNA". From Rfam's summary of the family: Transfer RNA (tRNA) molecules are approximately 80 nucleotides in length. Their secondary structure includes four short double-helical elements and three loops (D, anti-codon, and T loops). Further hydrogen bonds mediate the characteristic L-shaped molecular structure. tRNAs have two regions of fundamental functional importance: the anti-codon, which is responsible for specific mRNA codon recognition, and the 3' end, to which the tRNAs corresponding amino acid is attached (by aminoacyl-tRNA synthetases). tRNAs cope with the degeneracy of the genetic code in two manners: having more than one tRNA (with a specific anti-codon) for a particular amino acid; and 'wobble' base-pairing, i.e. permitting non-standard base-pairing at the 3rd anti-codon position. Lineage: Eukaryota; Viridiplantae; Streptophyta; Magnoliopsida; Malpighiales; Salicaceae. The record is from Rfam by way of RNAcentral.
GUUGUUUGGCCGAGUGGUUAAGGCGUGCAGCUUUCCCCACAGUGAGAGUUCAAAUCUCUCUAACUACA